This 80-nucleotide small RNA is filed under the name Caulobacter vibrioides NA1000. Its description in RNAcentral is "small non-coding RNA". The record is from RNAcentral. Lineage: Bacteria; Pseudomonadati; Pseudomonadota; Alphaproteobacteria; Caulobacterales; Caulobacteraceae.
AAGGCGCUCCGCCGCAGGAUUAACCCCUUCGACGGAACGUCGAACGCCGCCCGGUCAGCCCACCGGGCGGCGUUCUUCGU